UUUUUGUUCAGCGUUUGUUUUUGUUCGGCUUUUGAUCGUCCGUCCUAUUUGAUAAAAAAUAUGACUGGUAUUUUUAUAGUUAUUAGAUGAUAAAACAUAGAAAGUAUUUUAUGUGUAGCUAUUUUUUAAAUUCAUUUUAUAAUUUUUUAAAUAAUACGAAUGAUCAAACGAUGAUCACGGGAAUCCACAUAUGCAGAUAUA
RNAcentral lists this microRNA precursor (201 nucleotides) under Oryza brachyantha (malo sina). RNAcentral describes it as "MIR812 microRNA precursor family". It matches the Rfam family "MIR812 microRNA precursor family". The record is from Rfam by way of RNAcentral. Lineage: Eukaryota; Viridiplantae; Streptophyta; Magnoliopsida; Poales; Poaceae.